Molecule: long non-coding RNA, 789 nt
Organism: Hydractinia symbiolongicarpus
Lineage: Eukaryota; Metazoa; Cnidaria; Hydrozoa; Anthoathecata; Hydractiniidae
Exons: 2
Source: RefSeq, a predicted model, not a curated record
UAUAAAAUUUUCGAUUUUUUUCAAAUCUUCUAUUUUUAAAAAAAAUACAUUUGUUCAAAUAUUUUUAGUAGUUUGGUUGUAUAUAUACCUUUUGUAUUUAUGUGACAAUGCAGAAAGUGAAUAAUAUGCUCACUGAAGUUAAUCAACCACCAAAAUCACAUUGUUCUACUAUCAACAAGAUGGUUGUCUACAUUAUGAACUUCUUCUCGUGUUCUGUUAUUUUGGAUUAGGUUUUUCAAAGAAUGUUGGUGUGCUGUAUUACACCUAAAACUGUUCAACCUCAUUCGUUUGAAAGUAAUUGCAAUCAUCAGCGCAAGUGUAUCACACCAAUGACCUCACAACUAUUUGAUGUCCAAGUCGUCAUAUUUUGCUUUUCUCUAAUGCUUGUCAUUUGCUACAACAGUCACGCGAGUGCAACUGAAGACUACACAGAUCGUAUGCAGCCUUUAUACUCGUCUUAACCAUCACGUGAGCAUUAAUCCAUCAGGUAAUCUAGAAGUCGCAUUACGUUCUAUGCUGGGGCAUAUACGAUGCACAUGGCGACAUGCCUAAUCUUAUAAUGAAAAAGAACGCAUUACGUUCCAUGCUGGGACAUAUACGAUUCACAUGCAGACUUGCCUAAUUUUAUAAUGGAAAGAAAACGCAUUACGUUCUAUGCUGGGACAUAUACGAUUGACAUGCAGAAUGUUAUAGAACAAUCUUGUGGAGCAGGUUGCUACUUCGUGAAAACGUCAGCGGAACAAUGUUUGUAUUAAUUUUUUAUGUAUUAAUGCAUUAUUCGAAACAAUA